GGGACAGGGAGAUGAUCAUACUUUGAGUACUAGCAUUGUAUUGUGCUCUGCUCUUUGUUUCAGAGCCAGUUUUGGGCAAUGUAGAAAUGCUUAUGCAACCCCAGCCUUGUAACCAGAAGAGUCAUGGUUUUGCCUUUCUGCCUUACAUCUGUAAAUGCUUGCAAGGAUAUUUUCACCCCCUCAGAGAAGGUCAUCCAAGGGUUUUGCUGAGGACAAUAAAAUGGAAUAGACUACAUUAGUGCGG
RNAcentral lists this long non-coding RNA (244 nucleotides) under Chloebia gouldiae (Gouldian finch). RNAcentral describes it as "Erythrura gouldiae (Gouldian finch) lncRNA (ENSEGOG00005016487.1)". The record is from RNAcentral. Lineage: Eukaryota; Metazoa; Chordata; Aves; Passeriformes; Passeridae.